RNAcentral lists this ribosomal RNA (460 nucleotides) under uncultured bacterium. Its description in RNAcentral is "partial 16S ribosomal RNA". It matches the Rfam family "Bacterial small subunit ribosomal RNA", at positions 338 to 795 of the family's 1533-position model. The record is from RNAcentral.
CCUACGGGAGGCAGCAGUGAGGAAUAUUGGUCAAUGGACGAGAGUCUGAACCAGCCAAGUAGCGUGAAGGAUGACUGCCCUAUGGGUUGUAAACUUCUUUUAUAAAGGGAUAAAACGAGGCACGUGUGCCUUUUUGCAUGUACUGUAUGAAUAAGGAUCGGCUAACUCCGUGCCAGCAGCCGCGGUAAUACGGAGGAUCCGAGCGUUAUCCGGAUUUAUUGGGUUUAAAGGGUGCGUAGAUGGGUUGUUAAGUCAGUUGUGAAAGUGUGCGGCUCAACCGUAAAAUUGCAAUUGAUACUGGCAGUCUUGAGUGCAGUUGAGGUAGGCGGAAUGCGUGGUGUAGCGGUGAAAUGCUUAGAGAUCACGAAGAACCCCGAUUGCGAAGGCAGCUUACUAAACUGUGACUGACAUUGAGGCUCGAAAGUGUGGGUAGCAAACAGGAUUAGAUACCCGGGUAGUC